This is a long non-coding RNA of Gavialis gangeticus (Gharial), 1089 nucleotides long. RefSeq lists it as uncharacterized. Lineage: Eukaryota; Metazoa; Chordata; Crocodylia; Gavialidae. The record is from RefSeq and is a predicted model, not a curated record. The transcript is spliced from 7 exons.
UCAGUGCUCAGUGCUAAUAUGCACAAAAAAUGUAUUUAUGGUAAUGACACGGACUGUCUGAAACAAUGCAUUCCAACAUCCUGUAACAUAAAUAACAAAGGUGGAGCCAGCUGGCAUUCAACUGUUUAUUUGCCAGCAGUCCCAAUCUGCACUAUAUACCUUUUUUACACUGUCUCAGUCUGGCAGUAUUGAACCUGUUGCUGCAUUAGCCGAGUUGUAUUUUGCUAGAUAGGGGAAGGAGGGUUGUCUGCUGUCUGGUAGGAGGGCUUUGUCUGUGUGUGCCUUUCUCUCUCUCUCUCCCUCUCUCUCUCUCUGUGUCUCUCAUACUCCCGCUUGCUCUCCCUCUGGCUCUCUCUCUCUCCCUCGCUCUCUCUCCCUUUCCCGUCUCUGUGGUUUGUAAGGUAGGUUGCAGUGUGUGUAUAUACACAACAUCAAGAGCAGGAAAAUGGACUCAUUAGGGAGGCAGGCAGUCAUUACCACUCACACUGUACUUCCAGGGAGACAGCGACUAUGAGGAGACAAACUGAGGACUGGGGAACAAGCAGCAUAAAAACGAAGUGUUAGGAGCUGCUCUUAACCCUUUUGGAGUCCGAAGUCGAAAGGGAACUAGAGGGCUUGAGACCUCUUUUACAUCCUGCAUUGGCUCUGACCACAGUCCUUCCCUGCUCUCACAAGUGGAGCUCAGCCCUGCUUUCCUUCCUGUUGAUUCCCAGUCAGCUACAUGACUGCCUGAAGUUACAUUUUAGAUGCUGAAAUCACUGCACCUUAAAAACAAAAAGAUUAAGCUGCACUGCAUUCCUCUUCUGCUGUGUCAUGGUCAUUUCCAAAUUGGUGGAGCCCAGCAAGUUCAUGUGAAACAGAGGAGCCUGUAGGCGGAAAAUAAAGAUCCUUGAGAUCAAUUUGCGGUCUUCUCCUGAAGGUACCUCUCCAGUCUCUCAUAUGAGAAAACUGAGGCACAGAGCUUUGGAGUGACUUGUCUUAAAUUCACACGGCAAGUCAGUGGCAGAGCCAGGAAGACAACUCGGGAAUCCUGGAUCCCAGUCCUGUGCUCUAACCACUCGGCCAUACCACGGCUCCAGAUGUAAGUUA